This 1764-nucleotide ribosomal RNA is filed under the name Triticum aestivum (bread wheat). Its description in RNAcentral is "partial small subunit ribosomal RNA". Lineage: Eukaryota; Viridiplantae; Streptophyta; Magnoliopsida; Poales; Poaceae. The record is from RNAcentral.
AUGUCCUUUUCGGUUGCAGAGGAGACCUUCACAUGUAUCCGGUCACCACCCUUCUGGGUACCAGGAGCGCCGCCGGCCUCCUGGUUGGCCUCAUCAGGAGAGCAACUAAUGGAGAUGGAUGAGCAACUAUGUUUGGUUCGCAACAGAAUCCCUCAUGGUAGUAACACUUUGGAGAUCUGGAAACUGCUGGACUAUAGCUCUGGUGACUGGUUACUGAAUCAUCGAAUUAAUUUGUCGGGGCACCUGGCAAGAGAUUUGCGUCAGUCACAAAUUCUGAGAGUUAUUGGAUCUUUUCGUAGUUACAGGUCGACAAGGAAGAAGAUAAUCAUCACUACUAGCAUGCACAAGAUUUUCAACAAGUAUCAGAAAAUGGUUCACACCUAUGACCCUAGGUCUGAGGCUCUGGAAACCAUUCUUUCAAUCACAGAGACACACUCAAUUCCACAAUAUGCUUGUCCUAGUUCAAGAUUCGGUUUCAUUCAAGAAACCCUUGCUCCCGUGCAUAGAACAGAUGAAGCCUUGUCAUCUGACCUGGCAAAGGUGACUAGAGAGAUCCUACUCCGCCUCCCAGCUAAAUCAGCCAUACUGUCCAAAUUUGUCUGCAAGCAGUGGUUCAGAUUGAUUGAGAGUGAAAACUUCAUUCGGUCAUACUUUCAGCAUAAGAACAUGGACAAAAGACCUAAGGUCAUGCUUGUGGUCAAGAGCACUGGACAGUUGGGCUUCAGUUUCACUCCAUUGAAUAAAUGCCUACAAGAAGCUCCUAGUCACAGUACAUUGCUUGAUACGAAGGUGGUUUGCUCUAAGCCUUGCCAUGGGCUGAACUUGGUAAGCACCGAGACGAAGGACUAUCUCUGCAAUCCAUGUACAGGUUUCCACAGGGUUUACCGUAACCUGGGGCCAAAUUUGCACCUUCCCUCGAGAAUGCCUAAAGCAGAAGAGCAUGCUUUUACAGUCGGCAAUAAAAAUGUUGGCUUGACUUUCAGCCCUUCGACUCGUCAACAUGUUAUCGUGGAAAUCUUCUAUCACCGGAAGGACUUCAAAUCUCGUCAGUAUGACAUGACAUGCGCGUUAUACUGGUGUAACUCUUGGAGUGCUGCCCAACAGAUCUCGGUACCUCCUCUGCCUGUGAAUGAUAUGCCACCGGCCUAUGUUGAAGGAGUGCUGUACUGGAUGAGUGAACCAAGGUUGGGACAGUGCUGUGAAUGGACCAUUGUCUCUUUCAAUCUUGCUAAAAGAACGUUUGAUGUUGUCCCCUGUCCUUCGUGGUUUGCAAGAUGGAAUAGCAGAAACCGCUGUCGUGCAUUUGUUGUUGAGCUCGAGGGAGUAUUAUGCGCUGUCCUAGCAGAUCCAGUGGCAGACAAAUUAGAUGUAUGGAAGCUAGAGCAUGGCCAAUGGGGCAGAGCAUACACAAUUAACCUGGAAGCAUGUCCUGGCUAUUCCCUCAAGACAAGUGUUGUGAUGCCAUUAGCUGUUGAUCCUGAUCAUGGGAGGAUCCUGCUCAACACUGGGAGAAAGAUAGGUCUAUAUGAUCCAGUAGAGCAAACAAUUCUAAAUCUGCAUUCACUUGAUCAGGUACAGGCUGCCAGUAGUCCACACCUUGAGAUGCCUUCAACGUCAUCACGGAAUAGUUUGACAUGCUCCAAAGAAGAGUCGGCGGCGGAAAUGAAUAGAAUGGACUCUGAAAUUAUUCCUUUUGUUCCUAUGUUAUACGAGGAGAGCUUGGCAUGUUACUCUUCUGUGCGCAAAGCAAAAAUGCUGUGGUGA